Molecule: ribosomal RNA, 459 nt
Filed under: uncultured bacterium
Lineage: Bacteria
Description: partial 16S ribosomal RNA
Rfam family: Bacterial small subunit ribosomal RNA
Source: RNAcentral
CCUACGGGAGACAGCAGUGAGGAAUAUUGGUCAAUGGUCGGGAGACUGAACCAGCCAAGCCGCGUGAGGGAUGAAGGUACAGAGUAUCGUAAACCUCUUUUGUCAGGGAACAAAGGCGGGGACGCGUCCCCGGAUGAGUGUACCUGAAGAAAAAGCAUCGGCUAACUCCGUGCCAGCAGCCGCGGUAAUACGGAGGAUGCGAGCGUUAUCCGGAUUUAUUGGGUUUAAAGGGUGCGCAGGCGGUCUGUUAAGUCAGCGGUCAAAGCCCGGGGCUCAACCCCGGCCCGCCGUUGAAACUGGCAGUCGCGAGUUGGGGAGAAGUAAGCGGAAUGCGCGGUGUAGCGGUGAAAUGCAUAGAUAUCGCGCAGAACUCCGAUUGCGAAGGCAGCAUGCCGGCUCCACACUGACGCUGAGGCACGAAAGCGUGGGUAUCGAACAGGAUUAGAUACCCCAGUAGUC